GUCAUCCGCAUUCAGGGAAUCUCGAAAAGAUAUUGUCCGUUUUCCCCAUAAAAAGUUGAAUGGAGUGUAACAUGUAUUUCCAUUCAUAACUACAUUUUAUUUAAGCUAAGUGCUUGUUUAAAAGGGGCCAAUUUGCCCACAUGUCGACAAAAUAUGCCACCACCGGUGAGAACAGAUAGUACAAGGAAAUGGAAGUUUUGUCUACAGCAAAUGGAUGAUUAUCUUCUUUAUAGUUGGAGGAAUGUUCUUCUUAGUUGGUGUGUACUUUACUGCAAAAAAGAAAAAAGAAACGUGGACAAUGUAGUAACGAGUUUAUGGCUAAUUAAGAAAUCCUGGAGUUAUUGGAAUAAUGUGCGGUCUUAAAAUGAAUCGAAAUAAUGAAUUGGAAGGACAGUCUUGGAUCUUAUUAGGAGUGUUAAGUUGCCUACUUGGGGUUACUUUAUCAGGCAGCGUGUCUGGUUAUCAUACUCUAAUGCGAUACCGUCGAGAUCUGAGAGCCACAAAUCUUGGGUAGCCAUGGAGACAUCUUAUGGUAGCCAUCAAACCAGUGAAGUUGAUAUGAACGCGAGGCGAUUUAGAAAAAUGUUGGUACAUUUUUUGGGGUGCUACAAUACGAAAUCACUUCCUUGUUUGCUUCACGAAGUUACAAAAAUGCGAAGCAUUUUUUUGGAAUAUUAUGGAAUGUAAAUUAAGUCACGAUGCCACGUUUUUGUGACGGCCACACGAGUCAUAUCCAACAGGAAAGAAGUGAUAAGUAUGUUCCUUCUAUCUGUAUAAUCUUGAACGUUUUGCGCGCAAUGUAAUGUAAUUCUUUUAUUUAUACACCUGUUAUAAUUCUGAGCUCGAAUUACGUUCAGGUAUAUACAUAAAAUAUGACUAUGAGUAUGUUUUCAAAAUUGUUUUUAUUUGUAACACUGUCUAUUCGAUCACUGUCUGGAUAAGCACUUUGAAUGUAUUUGGAACUGAUUUUAUCGAUACCUGGAUCCAAUAACUAUUCAAAUAGACGUAGUAAUAGAACAUGCGUGUAUCUAUUUUUCCUAUAAUCCUCUGGUUGAUAACCUAACUUGCCUACGUGUACGAGUUGCGUGCUAACAACUAUUGAUUCAACUGAAACUCUACGUGUAUAUUCUACAAAAUGUAAACCAAUAUAUCUUCACAAAACGCUUCCUAUUUUAAAACUUAACAUAGCAUCGUUAUUUAUUGCAGCUACGGCACUAGAUCGAUAGCUUAUUUUCUCGUUCGCAGUACUACGACAAUAAAGGUCUGUGUAGGUAAAUGUGUUACUAACAUUGAUUGAUGUUCUGUCGUUCAUCUCCCAUCCCGCGGUUGUUAUAGACACAACCGCUUUUAACGUACAGCGAAGGUAAUUAGCUAACACCUCCGCUGAAUGAUUGAUAGUUGGAGCUCACCCAUUAUUUAUUAAAGUUACGCGUUGACUUGUAUGAAUAUACACCUGUCGAUACCUAUUCAUCACGUGCUACAUACAAUAUGUAGGCGAGGAUUCUGUGUAUGCAAAGGGAAACUUCGUUUUAUUAGCAAUUCCAGUGUAAACGGCUUAUGUGAUUGAUAUUAAAUGCACACGUUGAAAUCCUGUCGAUUUUCCUGUUCGCGGAAUAGUUUUUACGUUGGAAGGUUGUAUUUUUUUAUUGUGUUGGGAAGUCCACUGUCCUGAGUUUCAACCGUCCAUUAUGCACGAGUGUUUGCUCUAUGCUGUAAAAAGUAUGAACUCGGCUAUUUAUUAAAUACUGUUUCUACCAGUACCUACGUGUCAUUAAGGACUGGGAGUAUGUAGUCUGUUGUUUUUCGAUUCAACUUUUACCGUACGGGUUUUUAUAAAUAAAAAUUCCGCGUAGGUGUGUUGGCUCGAGAGGGUCGGAAAAUUUGAAGGUUUUCUUCCACAAAACAAAAAAGGAGCUAACUGGAAGAACUCGUAGAAAUGUAAACAGAAUUAUUUAGAACCACAAAAUUUGAGACUUUACCUUGUAGGCGUUACAACAAAAAGUAAACACACCUAAUGGUGUUGGAAGCACGUCUUAGAGCGACAGGCAUUCCAACUGUCGUUGCCUAAACAAGACUCGUAUAUUAAGCCUGGGGAUAACACAGGUAAAACAGACUACUCUAAAAGUCAGACAAGCGAAUAAAACAGUGAGAAGUACGGCACUCGUCUAGUUUCCGUACGUUGUUAUUGGGUUUUGGUCCUUUUUGCCCGGCAAGGUGUUAGCUGAUGCAGAGUUAGGGUUAAAUGUACGGACGUGGGUUUUAAACCGGUUGUGGGUUUAAGUUAACUCUUCUGUUGACGGAAAAGAAUCCUCUCGCGAACUUUAAAUGGGAUUUU
Helicoverpa armigera (cotton bollworm) is the source of this 2335-nucleotide long non-coding RNA. RefSeq lists it as uncharacterized. The transcript has 5 exons. The record is from RefSeq and is a predicted model, not a curated record. Lineage: Eukaryota; Metazoa; Arthropoda; Insecta; Lepidoptera; Noctuidae.